GACGAACGCUGGCGGCGUGCUUAACACAUGCAAGUCGAACGGUGAACUCCGCUUGCGGGGGGUUCAGUGGCGAACGGGUGAGUAACACGUGGGCAACCUGCCCUCAGCUCUGGGAUAACUCCAAGAAAUUGGGGCUAAUACCGGAUAUGACCGCUGACCGCAUGGUCUGGUGGUGGAAAGAUUUAUCGGCUGUGGAUGGGCCCGCGGCCUAUCAGCUUGUUGGUGGGGUAGUGGCCUACCAAGGCGACGACGGGUAGCCGGCCUGAGAGGGUGACCGGCCACACUGGGACUGAGACACGGCCCAGACUCCUACGGGAGGCAGCAGUGGGGAAUAUUGCGCAAUGGGCGAAAGCCUGACGCAGCGACGCCGCGUGGGGGAUGACGGCCUUCGGGUUGUAAACCUCUUUCAGCAGGGACGAAGCGAAAGUGACGGUACCUGCAGAAGAAGCACCGGCCAACUACGUG
RNAcentral lists this ribosomal RNA (465 nucleotides) under uncultured bacterium. RNAcentral's name for it is "partial 16S ribosomal RNA". It matches the Rfam family "Bacterial small subunit ribosomal RNA", at positions 28 to 507 of the family's 1533-position model. The record is from RNAcentral.